This 253-nucleotide ribosomal RNA is filed under the name uncultured bacterium. RNAcentral describes it as "partial 16S ribosomal RNA". It matches the Rfam family "Bacterial small subunit ribosomal RNA", at positions 524 to 776 of the family's 1533-position model. The record is from RNAcentral.
UACGUAGGUGGCAAGCGUUGUCCGGCAUUAUUGGGCGUAAAGCGCGCGCAGGCGGUCCUUUAAGUCUGAUGUGAAAGCCCACGGCUCAACCGUGGAGGGUCAUUGGAAACUGGGGGACUUGAGUGCAGAAGAGGAAAGCGGAAUUCCACGUGUAGCGGUGAAAUGCGUAGAGAUGUGGAGGAACACCAGUGGCGAAGGCGGCUUUCUGGUCUGUAACUGACGCUGAGGCGCGAAAGCGUGGGGAGCAAACAGG